CAGUCGCCACGGGAAUACGUAGGUGGCAAGCGUUGUCCGGAAUUAUUGGGCGCAAAGGGCUCGCAGGCGGUUUCUUAAGUCUGAUGUGAAAGCCCACGGCUCAACCGUGGAGGGUCAUUGGAAACUGGGAGACUUGAGUGCAGAAGAGGAGAGCGGAAUUCCAUGUGUAGCGGUGAAAUGCGUAGAUAUAUGGAGGAACACCAGUGGCGAAGGCGGCUCUCUGGUCUGUAACUGACGCUGAGGCUCGAAAGCGUGGGGAGCAAACGGGAUUAGAUACCCGAGUAGUCCCUGUCUCUUAUAA
RNAcentral lists this ribosomal RNA (301 nucleotides) under uncultured bacterium. RNAcentral's name for it is "partial 16S ribosomal RNA". It matches the Rfam family "Bacterial small subunit ribosomal RNA", at positions 509 to 809 of the family's 1533-position model. The record is from RNAcentral.